GCUUUCUGCAGAUCUAGGCAUUGCCUCAUUUUUAUCUACAUAAGUAUAAAGCACUGGAACAGUUACCUGGAAGAGUGAGCUGCCAUGUCUGCAGGCCAUAGCAUAUUCUACAAGCUUGCCCUAUAGAAAACAUUCUACAGGCAGAGGGUGUACACUGAAUAACUAGGCUGCAGUGAGUGAAGAUGUUGACUUGCCACAUCAAAUUGCUCAAGCAUCCUUGCCAAGGAGAUUACUUGUCAGUCUUCUUGGCCCAUAGUGAAGUGAAGGAGAUCCUCAAAAUGUCCUCUCAGCGUCCACAUCAGUGGGUUAUUCCAAAAGAAGAGGUGUGAGAACUAUGGUCCCGAGAUUAUGAGACAACUCAGAAUGAUGGGACUAGCAACCCUAAAGAGACAUUUUCUGCAAGUUCUCGAACUUCUCAGAAGUUUUGAAGACAUCUCCAAUCUCCAAUCUUAUAUGUACUUCAUCCAUUUCAGAACUUUACUUUCAGGAACAAUUUCCCUAUAUUGAGAUAUUUACAAAUGUACCUUUAGAAGAACAAUAUGAAUUAUUUGGAAACCAAUAUGAUUUGUUGUUUAAUGUAUACUAUAUAUAAUAUAUAAAGUAUAAUGUAUACUAUAUAUAUAGUAUAUAUAGCAUACUAUAUAAUAUAUAUACUACAAUAUAUACAUGUUUAAUGUAAUAUACUGCAGCUUUAAAAAAACUAUGAGCUAGCUCAGCUGGUGCCAAAGUAAAUAGUUAUAUCAAUUUGCAUUGACUGCCUAUAUUUUGAUUGUUUUCUCAUCAUUUAUUGUCUGUGUUAUUGAUUGUUGAUAUAAAUAUGAUUGUUUUUGAGUUGUUUUGACAUUUCUCAAUACACUGUUUGACAUAACAUGAUGGCACAGCUUAGCUGGGCAGCAUCCCAACAACAUGUCAUUCUCAGAAAAUGACAGAGAAAAUGUUAAUACUGAAAGAUGGGAUUUAUUUAUUUAAUUAUUUUAAAUAGUCUCAUAGUAAUAUCUCUGGAAAGUAGUACGUAAAUGAAAAAGAGAAAUAACAUGAAAACAAAACAAAACAAAACCAAAAAAAAAAAAAAAAGAAAAAACACACCAGUUUUAUGAACUUCACAAAAUAAAAGAAAAAUGAUAGUAUCUAAAGAGACA
Molecule: long non-coding RNA, 1139 nt
Filed under: Anas platyrhynchos platyrhynchos (common mallard)
Lineage: Eukaryota; Metazoa; Chordata; Aves; Anseriformes; Anatidae
Description: lncRNA (ENSAPLG00000029419.1)
Source: RNAcentral